RNAcentral lists this ribosomal RNA (426 nucleotides) under uncultured bacterium. Its description in RNAcentral is "bacterial SSU rRNA". It matches the Rfam family "Bacterial small subunit ribosomal RNA", at positions 29 to 457 of the family's 1533-position model. The record is from RNAcentral.
AUUGAACGCUGGCGGCAUGCCUUACACAUGCAAGUCGAACGGCAGCACGGGAGCAAUCCUGGUGGCGAGUGGCGAACGGGUGAGUAAUGUAUCGGAACGUGCCUUGUCGUGGGGGAUAACGCAGCGAAAGCUACGCUAAUACCGCAUACCAUCUAAGGAUGAAAGCGGGGGAUCGCAAGACCUCGCGCGACAAGAGUGGCCGAUAUCAGAUUAGGUUGUUGGUGGGGUAAAGGCCUACCAAGCCGACGAUCUGUAGCUGGUCUGAGAGGACGACCAGCCACACUGGGACUGAGACACGGCCCAGACUCCUACGGGAGGCAGCAGUGGGGAAUUUUGGACAAUGGGCGAAAGCCUGAUCCAGCAAUGCCGCGUGCAGGAUGAAGGCCUGGUUGUAAGUACGACUUAAGUACGGGUAGGGAAGGGACG